UUUUGCAUCGAUGCCACGGUGAAGUGUGGCUUUGAAC
Molecule: small RNA, 37 nt
Filed under: Listeria monocytogenes serotype 4b str. LL195
Lineage: Bacteria; Bacillati; Bacillota; Bacilli; Caryophanales; Listeriaceae
Source: RNAcentral